GGCCUGGCUGGCGGGUCCGCCUAUUCGGUGAGUACUUGCUCGGCCGGGACUUUUUACCUUCUGGAGAGCCAUCAUGCACUUUACUGUGUGUGGUGGGGAACCAGGACUUUUACCUUGAAAAAAUUAGAGUGUUCAAAGCAGGCCGUUACGGCUUGAAUAUCUUAGCAUGGAAUAAUAGAAUAGGACUUUGGUUCUAUUUUGUUGGUUUCUAGGACUAGAGUA
Molecule: ribosomal RNA, 222 nt
Filed under: uncultured fungus
Lineage: Eukaryota; Fungi
Description: partial small subunit ribosomal RNA
Rfam family: Eukaryotic small subunit ribosomal RNA (bases 51-222)
Source: RNAcentral